Gopherus evgoodei (Goodes thornscrub tortoise) is the source of this 91-nucleotide long non-coding RNA. RefSeq lists it as uncharacterized. The record is from RefSeq and is a predicted model, not a curated record. The transcript has 3 exons. NCBI's taxonomy places the organism in Eukaryota, Metazoa, Chordata, Testudines, Testudinidae.
UUUUUUAGUCUGUGGGGUGCUACAGGACUCUUUGCUGCUUUUACAGAUCCAGACUAACGUAGCUACCCCACUGAUACUUGACAAUCUGUAU